This 253-nucleotide ribosomal RNA is filed under the name uncultured bacterium. RNAcentral describes it as "partial 16S ribosomal RNA". It matches the Rfam family "Bacterial small subunit ribosomal RNA", at positions 524 to 776 of the family's 1533-position model. The record is from RNAcentral.
UACGUAGGGGGCAAGCGUUGUCCGGAAUCAUUGGGCGUAAAGAGCGCGUAGGCGGUCCGGUAAGUCCGCUCUGAAAGUCCGGGGCUCAACCCCGGGAGGCGGGCGGAUACUGUCGGGCUAGAGUCCGGAAGAGGCGAGUGGAAUUCCUGGUGUAGCGGUGAAAUGCGUAGAUAUCAGGAGGAACACCUGUGGCGAAAGCGGCUCACUGGACCAUAACUGACGCUGAUGCACGAAAGCUAGGGGAGCAAACAGG